GUUUCCGUAGUGUAGUGGUUAUCACGUUUGCCUCACACGCAAAAGGUCCCCAGUUCGAAACUGGGCGGAAACA
RNAcentral lists this transfer RNA (73 nucleotides) under Danionella translucida. It matches the Rfam family "tRNA". Rfam says of the family: Transfer RNA (tRNA) molecules are approximately 80 nucleotides in length. Their secondary structure includes four short double-helical elements and three loops (D, anti-codon, and T loops). RNAcentral also lists the same sequence under 1 other name. The record is from Rfam by way of RNAcentral. Lineage: Eukaryota; Metazoa; Chordata; Actinopteri; Cypriniformes; Danionidae.